UACGGGGGGGGCAAGCGUUGUUCGGAAUUACUGGGCGUAAAGCGCACGCAGGUGGCUGAGUCAGUCGAUUGUGAAAGCCCUGGGCUUAACCUGGGAAUUGCAGUCGAUACUACUCGGCUUGAGUAUGGGAGAGGGCAGUGGAAUUCUCGGUGUAGCGGUGAAAUGCGUAGAUAUCGAGAGGAACAUCAGUGGCGAAGGCGGCUGCCUGGCCCAAUACUGACACUCAGGUGCGACAGCGUGGGGAGCAAACAGG
This 253-nucleotide ribosomal RNA is filed under the name uncultured bacterium. Its description in RNAcentral is "partial 16S ribosomal RNA". It matches the Rfam family "Bacterial small subunit ribosomal RNA", at positions 524 to 776 of the family's 1533-position model. The record is from RNAcentral.